AGGGUUUGACAUCCUCGGCAAAGCUAUAGAAAUAUAGUGGAGGUUAACCGAGAGACAGGUGGUGCAUGGUU
This 71-nucleotide ribosomal RNA is filed under the name uncultured Mycoplasma sp. RNAcentral's name for it is "partial 16S ribosomal RNA". The record is from RNAcentral. Lineage: Bacteria; Bacillati; Mycoplasmatota; Mollicutes; Mycoplasmatales; Mycoplasmataceae.